GACGGAGGAUGCAAGCGUUAUCCGGAAUGAUUGGGCGUAAAGCGUCCGCAGGUGGCAGUUCAAGUCUGCUGUCAAAGACCGGGGCUUAACUUCGGGAAGGCAGUGGAAACUGAACAGCUAGAGUAUGGUAGGGGCAGAGGGAAUUCCUGGUGUAGCGGUGAAAUGCGUAGAGAUCAGGAAGAACAUCGGUGGCGAAGGCGCUCUGCUGGACCAUAACUGACACUCAGGGACGAAAGCUAGGGGAGCGAAUGGG
RNAcentral lists this ribosomal RNA (253 nucleotides) under uncultured bacterium. RNAcentral's name for it is "partial 16S ribosomal RNA". It matches the Rfam family "Bacterial small subunit ribosomal RNA", at positions 524 to 776 of the family's 1533-position model. The record is from RNAcentral.